CGUUUGUACGCAAUAAUGUUAAUAAUUUUAAAGCUUCUCUUUAAUAUUUAUCUAUUGGCUUUGAUCAAUGCACGCUCCAUUCCAAUUAGCCCAUGUCCACAGCCAGAUACUACAAUAUUUGUUCUGAAGCCCAAUAAUGAAUACUUUAAGGAUGCACCAUGUUUUCCUUCAAUUCUAUAAUAACACAGGUUUAUUCAAAUGAAUACUAUUUUGAAAUAAAUAAUACAGUUUUCAACUAAAA
Long non-coding RNA from Scaptodrosophila lebanonensis, 241 nucleotides. RefSeq lists it as uncharacterized. The transcript has 2 exons. NCBI's taxonomy places the organism in Eukaryota, Metazoa, Arthropoda, Insecta, Diptera, Drosophilidae. The record is from RefSeq and is a predicted model, not a curated record.